RNAcentral lists this non-coding RNA (26 nucleotides) under Mus musculus (house mouse). The record is from RNAcentral. Lineage: Eukaryota; Metazoa; Chordata; Mammalia; Rodentia; Muridae.
UACAUCCCGAUCCACGGCAGCAGGUC